UGCUCGUGGCACCUUGCAAGGUGAUUCACGUAGCCAAACUGUUGCAUGAGUGCCUCGUUGCAUACCAGUUUGACAGGUAUCUCAACUUCUUCCUUAGGUUAUCCCACAUUUCAAAAACCCUUCCUAGUGCCUGCUGGUAUUUCCGUCCACCCAUCUCUCUGCUUCAAGAUUAAUGAUUUGCCAUCCUUUCUGCUUCAAGAUCCACCUUUGCCUGCACCAAAAUCGCGAAGUAUAGUGCUACAAUCAGAUAAAAAAACUGAAAAUUCAAGGAAAUUGCACCAUGCCAGUUGAUUCCCAUGAGUUGCAGUUAGUUUGCUUCUCCCUCUGAUAGUCUCAGUUUGCACCUGCAAUUUCUACCUUGAAUAGUCUAAGCCAUCUGGUGGCCAUAUGCAGUUCAAUUCAUGUCCAGGUUCACAUAUGGUGGGAUUCUCAUAAAUAUUUGGCAACGGGCUUUACCAUAGUUGCAGGAGGCUAGAUACAGGUGGCGAUUAGGGUUCCAGUUUUGGGUUUUGCACGUCAGGUGGGGUAUAACAAUAUAAAACAAUAGCAUGAGCAUGAUGUAGCGUUAUCAAAUCAAAGACAACACAAGUUGGCUCAAAUAUCUGCAGUCUCGUCCAUUCUGAGAACCCAAUGAAGACAUGAAGAAUUUAUGAUUCUGGAUGGCAACACAUCAAAGAGAACCCAAUGAAGACAUGAAGAAUUUAUGUUGGAUGAUUGGAGCUUUGCAUUCAAUAAUAUAGAGAUUACAGUCCAAACCUUAUCAAACAAAAACAACAAUGUUUUGCCACUCUUUGGGCAGGAACUUCGCUGCUCUGCAACUCUUGUCUAUAUUGAUAUUCUUGUUGGUCUAAUUGUUUUGAAGAUAAGGUUGUUUUCUAUUGUUGAGUUGGUUAAGUAUAGGUUUUUGUUUAAUA
Cryptomeria japonica (Japanese cedar) is the source of this 914-nucleotide long non-coding RNA. RefSeq lists it as uncharacterized. Lineage: Eukaryota; Viridiplantae; Streptophyta; Pinopsida; Cupressales; Cupressaceae. The transcript has 4 exons. The record is from RefSeq and is a predicted model, not a curated record.